CUAAGCUCAGUCUCGACUCUCGACCUCCAUUCUCAACCCAGACUCGAGCUCCUCCUAAACUCGAGCUCCUCCCCCUCCUCCUCCUCACCAUCACAAUUCUCCCUCCUCGAUUCUCAGGCGGAAUCUAAAGUGCCGAGAUCCCGACCUCGAUCUAAAAUUGAAGUAACAACUCUGAAUCCUGAGCCCGGCCUCGAUCUGAGCUCCCUCUCCACCUUGCUCAACAGCUCGCUCUGGUCUUCUCCGCCCUCUGCUCCUCAACCCGCCGAUUCAAUUUCCGAUCACGAAGACAACGGCUUACCAGAGGCUAGAAUUUGGGGUCGCUAAUGGUCUUCGUCAAACCCUUGCCAUCCGAUUUGGUCAAAAAGCUUCUCUUCCAGCACCUGAAGGGCGUCGACGACUGUAAUGAUAACAGUAUACUCACCGAAACCUAGACCUAAGAAUCUGUUGCUUGACCAGAAACAACAGAGCCUCAAGAUUGGCGAUGGGAUCAAUCAGUCUUUCGCUUUCUUUUGCGAGUUUUUAUGGCGGACACGGUCACUCUCUGUUACCAAGUGCUGGACAUUUUGCUUGGGUCCACAGAUUACUCGACUUGGCGGACAUUUGGGCCAUCGGCUGCAUCUUCGUUGAAUAUUGUAGCUGAGAUGGUUAUCGGGGAUGUACUGUUUGUUGGAAGUACUAAGAUUCUCCCAAAGAAUUUAGACCCUUCUCUCAGAAAAAAGAAGAGAGAUUUCUAUCUCAGAGAGAGAGAGGGAGAUUGGAGAUCGUGUCAGAUCGGGAACAGAAACCUGUUUUCGCACGAUUUACACCUCUACAAUGUGGCUGGAUUCUUGGACUAAGAAUGAGAUGGACCUGGGUUUCUUGGUAUAUAAAUAUGCAGUGCGCCUUGGCUUGUCUUCAAAGAGCUUUUGUGACCUUAUCACUGAUAUGGGUUCUCAUGGGCGUACAGAAUGCAGCACAACUGAAUCAUCUGACGAUAUUGAGAAACAAGAGCUCGAGGAAGUGUCAGAUGAAGAUGAAUUGUCAUUUUUUGACACAAAAGAGUAUUUUACUGAACCAAACAUAAGUUGCGGGUCUGUGCAAGUUGUAAAUAACACAAAUAAGAUCAACAAAUAAGUUGCGGGUCUCUUCAAAAGUGUUGUGAGGACAUGGAGUACUCGUAUCUUUUGGAUCGGGCAUAUGAGUAUGGAAAAAUGGGGAAUAGUCUCCAAAGGAUUCUAAAUGUUGCUGCAUUUGCGGUUUCUGGUUAUGCAUCAUCGGAAGGGCGGCACUGUAAGCCAUUCAAUCCUUUGUUAGGUGAAACUUAUGAAGCCGACUAUCCAGAUAAAGGAAUUUGCUUCUUCUCUGAAAAGGUAAGCAUUUGAAGAUCAAAGAAUAUAGUGUAAAAAAUCAGAAUAACUAAAACAAAUGAGCAAUGGGAACUUAAGUACAAUGAGGUAUGAUGAUUGAAAACUGGUUGGGAUAUGCAUCAAAUUUUGAACAGCUUAAAGAACAACACCACUCUUGUUGAGAGGGCCAACUAGACUGCCUUCUUAAUUAUCAGAGAAAAGAAAUUCAAGCUUUUGGUCAAGUGAGUAUGCAACUUUGGACAGAAACUUAUUGAAAGAACUUUGAAUUUUUAUAAGUAAUUCUUUAGGGGGUGAAAGUGUUACUUUGAAACUUUGAACCAUUUUACGAUCAACUAAGAACGAAGGAGCAGCUGGGAUAUGUUGUUCAGUGUGACUGGGAGGUGAUAUUUGGUGUUUUUGGCUUUUAUUUCAUAGUUCAGUCGUCGGAGUACAACCCAAUCUACUUGCAGCGGAGAGUUGACAACUUUAUCAAUGGUGUGGAAGACAUUUUGCAGAUAUUGUAAAAGAAUGUGGAGCAUCCAAAGCUUGCUGCAUUCAUCAAGAAACAUACUUGGGUGAUGAUGGAGUCCGGAGAAUAUCUUACUUUUCCUCAAAACCAGUCUGAGAUAAAGGGUGGGGUUCUUCACUAUCUUGAGUCCAUUGAAGAGGUGAUUUAUUCCUCAUCAUGUCAAUUGAAACUUGAGUUGUGCUUUGGUGAUAUUGAAGUAUUGGUUCCUUGUUGUAGGAUACCAUUGGUUUGCAAUCUUUUGCUGCUGGUGGAAAGUUAUUGCAGUUAAUAUUUUGAUUUCUACAUGGUUCAACAAGAGUUUUGGCUACUAACAUGAUUUUGAGUAAGGCUAGUUUUUGCUUUGAAGGAAAGUUUGGUGUAUGUAGAACUGAUGUACAGUAGUUGGUUGCUAAUAUGUUUAUGGGCUAGCCUUUGUAGGUUUUGGGGUUUUAUUUUAUGAAUUAUGUAGAAUCAUGAAUGAAGAUGAGAAAAUUAAUGGAAAGCCUCAAUUUUUGGAUGAUGAGAAAUGUAUUUCUAGAUCUUUUCCCACCACCAG
This is an RNA transcript of Rosa rugosa (rugosa rose), 2389 nucleotides long. RefSeq lists it as uncharacterized. NCBI's taxonomy places the organism in Eukaryota, Viridiplantae, Streptophyta, Magnoliopsida, Rosales, Rosaceae. The transcript is spliced from 8 exons. The record is from RefSeq and is a predicted model, not a curated record.